AUGGCUGUCGUCAGCUCGUGCCGUGAGGUGUUGCCUUAAGUGGCGCAACGAGCGCAACCCCUGUCCUUAGUUGCCAGCGGAUCAUGCCGGGAACUCUAGGGAGACUGCCGGUGCCAAACCGGAGGAAGGUGGGGAUGACGUCAAGUCAGCAUGCCCCUUAUAUCCAGGGCUGCACGCAUGCUACAAUGCGCGAUACAGAGGGCUGCGAUCCCGUAAGGGGGAGCGAAUCCCAAAAAGUCGCGCUCAGUUCGGAUCGAGGUCUGCAACUCGACCUCGUGAAGUCGGAGUCGCUAGUAAUCGCAGAUCAGCAAUGCUGCGGUGAAUACGUUCCCGGGCCUUGUACACACCGCCCGUCACACCACGAAAGUGGGCAACACCCGAAGCCGGUGGCCUAACCCUUGUGGAGGGAGCCGUCGAAGGUGGGGCUCGCGAUUGGGGUGAAGUCGUAACAAGGUAGCCGUACCGGAAGGUGCGGCUGGAUCACCUCCUUUCUAAGGAGCCUUUGGCACUUCGGGAAGUCCAGUUACAUCCAACCGAAUGGACUUGUUACUACCCGACAAGACUCCAGGUCGAUGCACUGGUUACUCUUUUGACACCCUCCCGAACCACAACGGCUAGUAGUCCCUUUGGGGGCGAACGGGUUGCCGGCUCGGGGGAUCAUCAUCAGGACACACUGCUCAGCUUUGAGGGUGCGAGCCUUCGAGCACCUUGAGAACUUGAGAGCGAGCGCGAGCAUCUACGAGUCAAGUUAGGAAGGGCUCACGGUGGAUGCCUUGGCGCCAGGAGCCGAUGAAGGACGCGUCAGGCUGCGAUAAGCCUCGGGGAGCUGCCGAGAGAGCAUUGAUCCGAGGAUGUCCGAAUGGGGAAACCCGG
This 873-nucleotide small RNA is filed under the name uncultured Actinomycetales bacterium. RNAcentral describes it as "bacterial SSU rRNA". The stretch from base 1 to 491 matches the Rfam family "Bacterial small subunit ribosomal RNA", at positions 1045 to 1533 of the family's 1533-position model. Lineage: Bacteria; Bacillati; Actinomycetota; Actinomycetes; Actinomycetales. The record is from RNAcentral.